Molecule: ribosomal RNA, 116 nt
Filed under: Clostridioides difficile
Lineage: Bacteria; Bacillati; Bacillota; Clostridia; Peptostreptococcales; Peptostreptococcaceae
Source: RNAcentral
UGUGGUUACAAUAGCAGAGAGGAUACACCUGUUCCCAUUCCGAACACAGAAGUUAAGCUCUCUAGCGCUGAUGGUACUUGGUGGGAAACUGCCUGGGAGUUCUCUGCGAACCGUGG